CUGGAAUCAAAAGGAUGGGUCUCCAAGACAAAUACUUCAUCCGCAUGCCCCACCAAAUCAUGAAGCAAUUGCCCUGUAGAUGAAUUCCAAACUUUGAGCAGAUGAUUAUUUACAGCCGUAACAACAUAGUUGUCAUCUUGGUUCCAAGCUAUCAUCGUUACUUUAGGCCUCAUAAAUUUAUCUUCGUCUGAACACAUGUCACCUGGUAAUCGAUCUGACAUAUCCAACAGAAUACUCCUCCACUCAGCUUCUUCAAAGCGCCAGAUUCGUGCUGUCCCAUCUCUA
Molecule: long non-coding RNA, 285 nt
Filed under: Gallus gallus (chicken)
Lineage: Eukaryota; Metazoa; Chordata; Aves; Galliformes; Phasianidae
Source: RNAcentral